Molecule: unclassified non-coding RNA, 11996 nt
Filed under: Mizuhopecten yessoensis (Yesso scallop)
Lineage: Eukaryota; Metazoa; Mollusca; Bivalvia; Pectinida; Pectinidae
Description: probable nuclear hormone receptor HR3, transcript variant X3
Source: RNAcentral
UAGCAUUAAUACAAAAGUUAUUUUUGGAACUUUAGCCCGUACGGAUGUUGACUAUCCGAGAAGCCGUUUAUUUAGGUCGGCUAGGGUCUUUCUAGGGGAAGAUACAUGCAUGUGAGGUCAAGCCAUGACAACCAAUAUGAAAGAGUUGACCGGUCACACUGAACUUAUGUACAGUCCAGUUGCUAGUACCCAGCACAUCCCAGAUUCGGCCUCGGGGGCUAAGUUGGCGAAUGAACGCAAAGCCCAGAUCGAGGUGAUCCCUUGUAAGGUCUGUGGUGACAAAUCGUCAGGAGUUCACUAUGGCGUAAUCACAUGUGAGGGUUGUAAGGGUUUUUUCCGACGAAGUCAGGCUGGUCCGGUGAACUACCAGUGCCCUCGGAAUAAAAACUGUGUUAUUGACCGAGUGAACAGGAACCGGUGUCAGUACUGCCGGCUACAGAAAUGUAUCGCCCUAGGGAUGUCGAGGGAUGCUGUCAAGUUUGGUCGGAUGUCAAAGAAGCAGAGGGAGAAAGUAGAAGAUGAGGCAAAUUUUGUAAAACAGAAUCGUAUAAAUGGAUACGGUCCAUCCUCCCCGACACCGCUUAUACCCUCGCCAAACAACAACAAUCAAUUUACGGGAUACACAGAUCCAAAUUUUAUGUAUACAAGUAACGGGUACACAUAUGCUCUCCCAUCACCAACGGAAACACCACACCCAGAGACCCCAGUGACCUCCGACCCACCAUCAUACACUGUAGCGACCACAUCUCCAACGACAACGCAAACUGCGCCCCAUCCGGUGACUCUAAUCAGGGCUAUUGAUCUCAUGGAUUCUGUUACAUUUGGUAAAGCCAUUAUAGAUGCACAUGUACGGACAUGCUUGUAUAGUAAAGAACAGAUUGAUCUGGUGAAAUCCAACCUCCCCACACUGGAACUACUAGAGGCCUUUAAGAUUAUGACACAUAAACAGUUGUGGGCGGAGGUGGCUGAGAAAAUCACGAUAGCUGUCCAACAAAUAAUUGAGUUUGCCAAGAUGGUGCCCGGGUUUAUGGACCUCUCCCAGGACGAUCAGAUCAUGUUAUUAAAAGCAGGGAGUUUUGAGCUGGCAUUAAUACGAUGUUGCAGAGUGUUUGACGUCGCCAGGAAUAGUGUUAUAUUUGGAAACACUCUCUUACCACUAGAGGCCUUUGAUGGUUUUAAUGAGGAGGAAACCCAUUUAAGAGACAAUAUAUUUGAGUUUGUGAGGUCGCUGAUGACGUUAAAUCUUACAGAGACAGAGUUAGCUCUGUUUAGUGCCGUCAUGCUGAUACGCCCAGAUCGGCCGGGACUUAAAGAAUUACCUGACAUUCAAAAACUUUAUGAAAAGGCGCUGGCUGCGCUUAAGAUGGAGAUAGGGAAGAGCCAUACCGAGGACGGAGAACUGCUGAACAAACUGAUGAUACACGCAUUCUCACUUCAAAAUCUAAGUGCCCAACAUAUUGUGCUAUUGAAUAAGUUCAAACAGUCUGCUCCGGAAGUGGAGUUUCCUGCCCUUCACAAGGAACUCUUCAGUGUUGAAGGGCUAGAUAAUUCCUGAAUUGUGCUUGUACGCCACCAUUUUGUUCUGUUUACAUACUGCAGGGAGAAUGUGAAAGAUUUUUUUGGCAUUGUUCGGAACUUACAGAAAGAGAGACAAUGUUUAGCAUUGCGGUUGAAGCUAUUUUUUUCAUUUGUUGUGAAAAAAAGAUUUUGAAAAACAACACGGAGGAUAAUAGUUGUUUGCUGAAAGAUUUUAAUUGUAUUUCAGCGGCCUGGUUCAUUUCAUGUACAAUUUCAUUGUGUUUAUUUGUUUAUGUACAGAUUUAUUUUAGAUGAAUUGUUUAGCCCUAUCCAUCCAUACACCUUAUCCCACACUUUGUUUUUAAGUAUAAAGUUUUGAUUUUAUCAUUUCAAUCCUGCAAUGAGAAAAAGUUUUGAUGUACUGGAUUCCAAAAAUAUCAUUGUUUUAUAUCGUGUACGAAUGCAAGACAGUGGUAAGCUCUAUCAGUAGAGGAUCUCAAUUCAUCUUUUUAUUUCAGACAUGUCUGCUGCCAGUCAGGGUCACCUUAGGUCACCUUAGGAAGGUUUUUAGCAACAAGACAAUGUGUCAAGUUUCAGUGUACAAGUUUAAAAAAACCUGAAAUUAGUGAUAUUUUCAAAAUAUUGAUUUUAUCAAAAUGAAUUUUAAAAAUUACAUUUGUGUACCAAAAGUGAAAUUCACAAUCAUAAUUAAAGGGAAAAAACGGGCAAAAGGGGCAAAAGUUGCAAGUUUGCUUGAAUAUAAAUAACUUGAAAAUUUAGUUCUCCGUUAAUGAUGCUGGCUACAACAGGGUUCAGUCUUAGGGUCUCUAUGUAGUGCAGUAGGGUUGAGGUUUUAAUACAAAUCAGAAUUUAUUGAAAAGCUGUAUGGAUGGUUAAGUGGUGAUGUAGGCAGAUCUUUCAGGCCCAUUUGUGCAGAGCUUUUGAGUUGUAAAUAUCAAUAGCAGUCAAUUGAAACUGAAAAACAGUAAAAUUGAUAUGCUUAUUGAUAAUUCAACAAUCCAACUUCUGUUUUAAGCUUUGUUUUUGUAACAAUGCAGAUAUACCUCUUCUAAAAGUAUUCUAUAGUUAUAAUGUAUUCAUAGUAUGGCAUCAUGACAGUAUGACGGUUUAGAAUUACAUUUGACGGGAUAAAUCUAGGUCAGUUUAUAGUUGUUUGUAGGCCCUUUCCUGUUUGGGAUAUAUCGCCCCUAUUCCCUAUUUUGUUCUUAGUCAGAUUCAAAACAACCCAUUCAGAAUGUCUGAUUUAACUCAUGUCAUGUCUUGAAACAAGUUAUUCGAAGAAAUCUGAAAUUUCAAUGGCAACAUUUUUUGAAAUUUGAAUUUAAAAAUAAAUUAUGAAUGUUACACCAUUUAGAUACAAAAGAUCAUUUGGAAAAAAAGUUAUUUUUUGAAGUAUUGAUCUCUACCUCUCCUGAAAUAAAACAGUGUUUGAAACCAUUCAAAAAAACUCUGCAAAAACAAUUUUUAAAAGAGUCCAUGGUUUUCAGUUUUGAAACUUGUCCGCUGUUUUACUGUUUAUCGUUGGAAACUUUUAAACAAUUUCUGAAAAUGAAAUCGUUUUUGAUUCAAAUGAAUCAAUUCCUCAUGUGGAUAGAACAGAUAUGGUUGGAAGCCUCAGUCAAUUGGAGUGUUUUUAUCACCUAUCAUUUGACAUUGAGCCAUGCUGUAGUGAUGUGUUAAUGUGUAAUGUACAAUAUUAAAAUUCUGGUGAUGAAUUUGAUGUCUGCAGGGAUUAAUUAACUUGUUUAGUCACAAUUUAUUUCUCCGUUUUUAACCGAGUUGGAAGUCAUGAUUACUGGGAACGAGACAAACUCGCUAAUGCUAGUAAUGCAUGUUAUUAGGCUUCAGGGGCAAACCUUUUUCGUUGUUUUCUUUUAACAAAAAGUGAUCUUGCAGUUUGAAAAUGUUUCUAUAUGAGCAUUUGUAUACAUUUGAUUUCGAUGUCCCUCUUUCAGAGCAUUUAACACAUUCACCCUUGAAGACACAUUUGAACUCUUCCAAUUUAAAGGUUUGAAUAGUUCAUUAUGAAAUUUCAGCAGUGAAUGAGUUAAAAUAAAUAAUCAAGGUAUGUUGAUAGCCUGUUUGAUAACUAAUGUAGCAAAAAGCAUUUUCAGAAAAUAUUUAGUUUUAAAAUAUUUUUUUUGUCGCCCUUUGACAUUUAACAAGAAUUAGCAAGUUAUUUCAACAUCAUUAUUAUUUUUCCGCAAAUAUAUUUUUUACGACAUACCCUUGAUUACUUUCAAAUCUUAUUUACAUAUUGAAAUCUGUUAGCCGUUUUACUGUUAAAUUUGACAUUAUUUUAAUACUAAUAUUUCAUAUUCUCAGUAAUAAUGAUAUUGACAGGAAAAGGAAGGUCCUCUUUCUCUGUGCAAAGUACAAAAUAUCUUAAUUUUAAUUUUCAGUUCUUAGGAUUUUUUAACAGUGUUAAUACUAACAGAAAGUAAAAAUAUCUUUAACCAUUUCACCACUAGACUAUAAUGGACCUAUCCAGAUCAAUGCAUGGUAGAGUUUAUCAAAGUUACAUAGGGGUGAAAGGAUUAAGAUUAUCAUAAGACUUCAUGCAGACAGGUUUUAGCAUUUAUAUUUUACCUUUUACUCAUUCACCCCUGAAAUUUCAUAAUGAACUAUUCCAAGCUUUGAAUGGGAAGAGUUCAAAUGUGUUUUCAGGGGUGAAGUAUAUAAGAAUAUAAAGAUAAUGUUGUAGCUACUUUUAUAAACGUACCCCAAUACUUACAGUAUUGUUAAAAGAAAACAAUGGAAGAUGUUUUUCUGUAGCCUCGUGUUGCACUACUGUUAUUGUUGUCCUUAGUUGUUACCUGUAUUAUACUUACUAGCAUGUACUGUCCGGGACAGGCUCCUCCACCAAUCAGCUUUUAACAGAUUUUUUAUUACAUAAUUAAACCUGUACUCACAGUUUAAGCCUCAUUGUGUACAGCAACAGCUGAAGUUACCAUUUUAAAUUAUGAAUUUUAAUAGAAAGUAUAUAUUGACCACACAAUUGAAUUCGAAGAACUCUUCAGGUUCAAAGAUUGGAAUAGAUCAUUAUGAAAUUUCAGGGGUGAAUGAAUUAUAAAUCGAGGCGAAUAAAUGCCGCUGUAAACAACUCUGAUGUUGAUGUAGACAUUUUACAUAAUUCUCAUUAUAAGAAAUCAAAGGUAAUUGAUUGCAUCAAUAACGAUAUUUAUCAAGAAAUAAUAUUUUCAUUGAGUUCUUUUUUACUUGUUCGACAGUAAUCAGAAUAUGAAAUGCAGUUGCCAAAUAGAUUUCUUUUAAGAAUUAAUUCUGUCCUUUCGUCUAUGUUAGUUGGGGAUUUAUCUGAUGGUAUAGAUUUGUUUAUCAAAGAAAAAUGUGUUUCCUAUUGCCCAUGUUAAGUAUGAGAAGGGUGUUUUUUUGGGUUUUUUUUUUCCCAAAUAUUUCCUCUAUUAAUUAGCUGUACAUGGUGAAGUUUAAGUGAUGAAAACCAAUUUGAUUAUUGUUUAGUACUUCAAAAAGCUGAUUCAUGGAAGAUCCCGGACAGAUGCCAUUUUGCCUUUAGUGAAAUGAACGGGCAGUCUUAAUAAUAUAGUAAUUUUGUAAAUAGUGACCUAGUUAUAUAUACUGUAUGUAUUUGUAGGCUAACACAGAUUACAUACGUCACACCUAUAUCUGUUGUGUAUAUACUAUAUAUAUAUAUAUAUAUAAGUGAGGAAGUCGCACAAGAUUUUAACUGUAUACUGAUAUAAAGACUAUAGUAGACGAAAUCAAUUCUUUGUUGAUUCGUAUAUAUAAUCUAUAUAUAUUAAUAUUUUAAUUGUUAACGAAAUGUUCACAUAAUCUGAAACAGAAGUAUUGUUGAUGUAUUGGAAAAUACUUUUACCGACAUUUUUUGAAAUCAAGAUAAAUGAAAGUUUUGACAUAAUUACUGAUAUUUUGUGUUAUUUUCUCCCCAAAUCUUUUAUUUGAGAAAUAUAUUUGAUGACUUUCCACUCUUUCCUGAUAAACAUUUUGUCGACUGUCAAAUCAUAAUGUGUUUUUCUAAUAAUAAACAAGUCCGGUGAAAUAUUUGACCUAUUAAUGAAGGAGCGAGUUUUUAACAUCAGCUUAACAGUUUUCAAUUUUCAAUAAUUAAUUUCUUGAACAGUACAAUUGAAACAUAAAACAAUUUACAACACUACUUGAAUUUUAAGGGUAUUCUGUACAGCAUGAAUUUCAUUUUAACAGAAGCUGAAUUUAAUGAAGUGCUUAAUUUGAAAAUUACUUGAAAAUUUCAGAAAAGAUACCUUUUCAAAAUUGUCUUGCUGCAUCUCCUGUGAAACUCCACUGUGCUACCUGUUGAUGAGAUGGUCGGGGGAUUUUUUUUAUAACAUGGUAGGAAGCUGGCCUCACAAACAUUUUUUGGUUACUUUUGAAGGUUUUAAGAUCUGUUUUUAGUUUCAUUUUUAUGAUAACUUGUCCAUGCAUGCCAUUUUUGUUCCAACAAUCAAAUUUUCAAUGUUGUGGAAGUUAGUUAUUUGCGACCUGCAUAUAGAUUUAUAGUUUGAGUAGAAAGUUCAUUCUGUCCUAUAUCAAUGCUAGGCAGGGUUAGAAACCUCGGGAGACAAGGUCAGAGUUGCCUUAGUAAUCCUGUCUAACUAACACAGGUACCUUUCUCACGAUAACUUCACUACAACUACAAACUUUAUAUUGAUGGACAGGAAGUGUAAACAGUUUUGAGAUCACUUGGGUGGGUUUUCAUCGUAUUUGGAGAAAAAUAUUUGCGUUAAUUCGACUUGACAAUCAACUUCAUUUGAACCGCAAAUUCAGCACGGCGAAGGUAUAUGUUACAACAUUAUGAUGUAACAGUACAAAUGUGUGUGCGACACUGGAUCUGAUCAUAACAUUACAGAAAUAGUUUAAAACAAUCUUAGUGCUAUUAUACUGCUGUACAGAUUUUUUCUUUUAUUUGAACAAUAUAUGUGAAUAGUUUCAGUGAAAAUAGUUUGUUUAAAGUCUUAAGUAGGGUAUCAGACUGUUUUGAGAGAGAAAAUGGUUUCCUAAUUGUGUAUAUACAGACCAUUGAUUAGGGUGUAAGCUAUUUUAACCUUUUCACCACUGUAGACCGUAAUGGAUUCAUCCAGAUCAAUGCAUUGUAGAGUCUACUAAAGUUGCAUAGGGGUGAGAGGGUUAAAUAGCUGGAUGUGGUGAAUAUAUUUACACGUGAACAGUAGUGACGGAAUUUAGCAAAAAUCAAAUAUUAUCAUGAAGAAAGAAUUAUUUCUUAUCUAUCUAGUCGUAGGUUAUUAACCCUAACACCCCUAUGUAACUUAAGUAGAUUCUACCAUGCGUUGAUCUUGAUGAGUCCAUUAUGGUCUACAGUGGUGAAAGGGUUAAUAUGUAAAUCCAGAGAACAAUUACAAUUAUAAUGAGUAGAAAUUGAAACACAAUAAGAUAAGACUUGACGAGCUGAUCAGUGAGAUUCUGUGGAAGGAUAUAAGGAACUGUAAACACCAGAAGGGAGACACAUGACGAACCGACCAAUCAGGGCUCUAGUAGAGGAACAGAUAUGGUUUAGGUCAAAGUUUACAGGGCUUCGUUGAUGUCACUUGGUACUUGUUAUCAACAGAGAUUUUAUAGACUGAUUCAUAAAGCAGAAGUGUUCAGCCUUCAUUUUAAUAUGAUUUUGUUAUGUUUUCAGAUUUAUUGAUAUUGAAAUAAUUUGUUUCUAAGUGAAAGUAGAAUGACUUGAACCAAAGUUUGGAAUUAUAAGGGUAAUUUUUAAUCAAAAUUCUUUAUUGGAAAUUGAUUAAACCAUUAAAUUCAGUUGAAAAGAAAUACAACUUUAUAGGAAAUUAAUACAGAAUACUUAUAUAGCUGGCAAUUAAUUCAUAUGAAAUGUUUUGAUCCUAAACAAUAACAUAGUAUGCUUGGUGUCAUAAAUUGGUUUUGUUCUGGAGUUAUCUCCCUCUACCUGAAUGGUAUCGGAGCCCCAUUCCAGUGAACGUUUUAAAUUUGUAAUCAAAUGGACUAGUCUAAAUUGAUCAUUCAUUAAGAACAUUUUUGUUGUGUGGAACUCUCCUAGAAUGGAGAUAUUUUUCUUGGUAAGGUAGCUUACAUCCUUAAUAGGCUACUUGCUGUUAAUAGACUUGUUUCACAAUAAGGUAGCAUAUAUCAAGAAGGAAAAUAAGUAGGACUGACUGCACUGUACAACAUAACCAGGAUUAUUUGUUUUUACAACAAAUUUUAUCUUGUAGUACUGCUUAAAGUUGUUCAUCCUGUGUGUAAAAAUGACAAAUAUCCAGUAUCUCAAUUGCCAUAUAUUAUAUAUAUAUACAUAAAGAUUGUUUUAUAUGAGUAGGCCUUGUUGUUAAUAGCUUACCUACGUGAUUUAUGUUGCUUUGUACACAUGUAUAUAGUUCAUUGCUACAAUGACAUUAGAUGUUACUACCACUAAGUCAGCUUGUCCUGUUAUAGUUAAAAUACCGCAGUCAGUUUUUAACGUCACACUAAAAUAUAGGGCAGUUUGAUACUUUCAAUUGUCAUUGUUUUGUGAUAUAAAGGUACUUUGUAUUCAAAUUGUCUAGAAUCUGAUGGCAAUUGUCCUAAAUUUUAAGGCAGUUUUUUGUGACCUUGUAAUAUACAGGUUUAGUUUUAAGGCAGUAUGUAUGACCAAGUAAUUAACGGGUUUUAAAGAAUUCAACUCGGAAAUCAGAUGAUUUUUUGGGUAAUCAUUUCAAAAGUAUGUUUACAGUAAGUUACUGUUUCAACAGGUCCUAUUCCUAAUAUGGGCAAUCAACUCUAGAGACUAUGAGGGGAAGCUGACUGGUUGGCAGUUACUGUUAUAUGACAAACAUGUACAGUACCAUUUCGUACCAAAGAUGAUAUAUAUAUAUAUGUAUAUAUAGAUGAUGUACAGAAAUUUACUGAUGUUAAAAAGGUGGAAGAAAGUUUUUUCUGAUUUCCUUUUUUAGGGAAAAAUAACUUUUAUGUUGAUUGUCAAAUUAUCAUAUUAGAAAAAAAAGUAUUAAUAAUAUUAAGUUUUCAUAUUGGGAGUUUUUGUAGGUGAUAAAAAAACUCUGAUAAUAAAAGAUUAAAGUCCUGUAUAGUUCUGAUUUACUCAACCUUUAUUUUGAUAGAGGUGGAUUUUGUGUCAUGGUCUAAUUUAGUCCUUUACCCCUGAAGACACAUUUGUACUCUUCCAAUUCAAAGGUUGGAAUAGCUCAUGAAAUUUCAGGGGUGAAUGAGUUAAAUGUAAUCGCUUAAGUGAUUACUGUUGUUACUAACUCUGUGUCUGGGCAUUAGACUCUCUAAUGGUGGAGUGUAUAGUCUCUUUACAUCAACAUUUCUGGUAAUGAUAACUUUGUGGUCCUGUUGGAGCAAGGCCCUCGCUGGGCACUGAGGCCUGUGGUCAUUUUGUGGUCCUGUUGAGGUGAGGCUAUGGGUACUGAGGCCUGUGCUCAUUUUGUGGUCCUGUUGAGGUGAGGAUAUGGGUACUGAGGCCUGUGCUCAUUUUGUGGUCCUGUUGAGGUGAGGCUAUGGGUACUGAGGCCUGUGCUCACUUUGUGGUCCUGUUGAGGUGAGGCUAUGGGUACUGAGGCCUGUGCUCAUUUUGUUGUCCAGUUGGGGCGAGUAGCUCUAUGGGUACUGAGGCCUGUGGUCAUUUUGUUGUCCAGCUGGGGUGAGUACCUCUAUGGGUACUGAGGCCUGUGUUCAUUUUGUUGUCCAGUUGGGGCGAGUAGCUCUAUGGGUACUGAGGCCUGUGGUCAUUUUGUUGUCCUGCUGGGGCGAGGCCCUCUAUGGGUACUGAGGACUGUGGUCAUUUUGUUGUCCAGUUGGGGUACUGGAGGUCUAUGGUAUACAGGACUUAUAUCUUACCAGCAAUUAAUUCAGUAAUAAUUUGUUAAUGUGUUAUUUUGUCAUUUUGCAUGAAGUACAUUCUGUUGUUAUCAUUUAAAAUGAAUCAUUUUUAAUUUGUGUCACAUGCUGUAGUUAAUUAUUCUCUUAUAUCUGUCGCAUUUAAUAUCUCUUACUUUUCAUGUUCGCUCAUAAACUACUGUUAACCGGAUAUAAAAAUAUGUAUAUUCCAUUGAUAUUUCCUUACCUUCCUAAUACAGUUCAGAAGAUGUUGAGAGCUGGUUGUCACUACCUUGUAUAAGGGGAAGAACAGAGCAAAUUGUUGCCUAGUUUAACUUGUCCUUUCACCAUGGUUACAAUUUACCUCCAUAUGGGGGUAUAAGACCUCAUAAAACAGCUUUUGACCCUAAAAAUGUUAGAGAAUUGUCAUAUAAAGGGGUCAGAAUUUGUGAUUUAUGCCUGAUUUUACCCCCAACUUUUAUGUCUUGUAAAAACACUGUUCAUCCUCUGUAAAGAGGAAAAAUCAUGAGAGUUUACUCCAGUACACAGCCUAAAAUGCAUGGUAUUUCUAGUAUGAAGGUGAAAUUAAGACCGGGUGAUUAACUCAUUCACCCCUGAAGACACAUUUGAAAUCUUUUGAGUUCAAUAGUUGGAAUGGUUCAUUAUGAAAUUCAGGGGUGAAUGAAUUGAGGAUGAAUAUUUGAAUUUGACAUGAUUGACGGCUAGUUAUCUGCGUGGCAUUAUGAUCAAGUCACCUGACCGGUCAGUCUGGUUAAACGCAGUGGUCACUUCCUCUGUUAUCUCAAGUCUCACUAAACUUCAGACUCCAUGUUCCUCAAAAUAGUUUCACACAAUGUCAGUAACAAACUGAAGUUUUUCAUCUAUCAUAUUAAUAGUGUAUCUUCACUUCUUAUAGAAAACAACUAUAUUUGUAUAUUUUGAUUUGGUCUCUUAAAAUAGAGAUUUAAAUCUUCAUUUCUAACAGAACAAUUCCUUAAAAUUUACUUUUAGCAACCACACAAUUUAAAAUGGGUUUUAAAUUACGGAGAUGCACAGUUCGUGUUCAACUAUCGGUUCUUAAUGCAGUACCCGCAACUAAAAAUAUUCUCAAAAAGCCUUCAAUUUUAGUUAUCUCGGUCUAAACUUCAUGAGCAUUGAACAUUCAUUUAGUUUUUUUCCUAACUAGAGUGCAGUAUUAAGUUGAGGACAAUAGCUUGUUUAGAGAGAGGAAAACUUAGUAGGAGUGUGUUUGAAAAAGAGGAGAUCGCUUUCUUAACAAGAUUAACCAAUACUGAUAAAAUUUAAGUAAUCAUACUAAUUCGGAAGCAGAUGAUAAAAUGUUGAGAUAUACUUGUAGAAAUGUGUCCUAUAUCCACAUACUUUUUCACCACAGACAGAUGUUUUUCUCAUGGCUAGGAAAGUAAUGGGUUGGAAUGAAGCACAAACAAUGUGAUGUCUACCUCAUGUUUCCCUGUACCUUUGUAUACGGUUGAAUAAGCAAUACUAUAGUACAGUAUCACCACACUAUUGAUAUGUCCAAAAUUGCACUUUUGUGAAUAAAAAUAACGGUUGUCUGCCUUGGGUGAGAGAGUGGAGAUGGUUAUCUCCCUUUGGGAGAGUGCAGCAUUAUGAUUACCAUGGUAACCAGGAUCUGGACCAUCACAUCUCUUGAUUGUUUUGUCUCCUGUAACGUUGACAUUUGUUUAAUUAACAAUGCAUGUAUGAUUUGUAAUGAUUUGUUGAAAACUUAAGGGAUAAAAUGUUGUACGGUGAAAGAUUUGAAAUAAUCAAACCUCUUGGCCACAAAGGCUUGUCGAAACAAGACCAUUGGUCAGUCAUUAAUGACGGGGUAAUAAUGAAAUGUUAACAAAUUAUUUUAAAAAAGAAUUAACAUAAAAAAAUGAUUUUUUUCCUAUGGAUAUUUUAUGUAAUAGUCGUUUUCCUAAUUUGACAAUACUUGUAGGUCUUCGUUUUAUCAUUUUGAUUUUAACAGUUAAUUUUGUACAUCAUUGUUUCAUUUGAUCCUCUGACCCCUGUAAAGCGUAGUGUACCUGUCUAGUUCAGGGUAUCAAGGACAGCUCAUUAUGUGAUAUUAGGGGGACUUAUUUUACUAUUUUUAAGCCGGUACUAUAUUUGGUAACUACCUUUGUACACAGAAUAUGUGUUGAUACAUUGUAUAUUAUUGUAAUGAUCUGUAAGGAAUUAUGUCAAUCAGUACCUGAUAAAGAGGGAUUCAUGUUUAAUGUAAGGGGAAUAACUCUUCAUAUUAAAUACAUUGACUCUUGUUACUAAUACGGAAUACAUGGGGGGAAAUAUCCAUCAAAAACUUAAUUGAGCGUAAGAGGCAAUCCUAUUGAGAGAAAAAAAUCUGAGUAGUUACUUGAUGUUUAAGUAACAGUUAAAAAAAAAGUCAGUAAUCGCCUUUCCCAAGGGAGGUAAUUCUUGUACGACCCAUGGAGUCCCUUGUACAGUUUGUCAUUAGUUAACUUGCCCCGGUUCGAUGGAGCUGUUGGGCGAAUGAAGGUUGUUAUGGUGAUUUGAGACGGAACUGUAAAGUGAUUUUUGUCAGUGCAGUGUUACACCUGGUCAACACUUUGUAAAGGUGUACAAGGCACACAUUAUCAAAUACACUAUUUUUAUAUACACAA